AAGAAAGUAGAUAAGGGCGUACGGGGAAUGCCUUGGUUCUCAGAGGCGAUGAAGGACGUGCUAAGCUGCGAUAAGCUACGGGAAGCCGCACAGAGGCGUUAAUCCGUAGAUUUCCGAAUGGGGAAACCCGGCUGGUUGAAGGCCAGUCACCGAAAGGAGCGAACCCGGGGAACUGAAACAUCUAAGUACCCGGAGGAAGAGAAAACAAUAGUGAUUCCGUAAGUAGUGGCGAGCGAACGCGGAACAGCCCAAACCCUGAUCGUUACGGCGGUUGGGGGGUUGUAGGACUACAAUGUGGACUAUAAAAACGAAGUAGAACGAUUUGGGAAAGUCGACCAUAGAGGGUGAAAGUCCCGUAUACGUAAAGUUUUAUUACCUAGUAGUAUCCUGAGUAGGGCGGAACCGGAGAAAUUCCGUCUGAAUCUGCCAGCACCAUCUGGUAAGGCUAAAUACUCCUGAGAAACCGAUAGUGAACCAGUACCGUGAGGGAAAGGUGAAAAGUACCCUGAAUAAGGGGGUGAAAUAGUACCUGAAACCGUGCGCCUACAAACGGUCGGAGGUCCCUAGUGGAUUGACGGCGUGCCUUUUGCAUAAUGAGCCUACGAGUUAUCCUAAUUGGCAAGGUUAAGUGAUUAAGUCACGUAGCCGGAGCGAAAGCGAGUCUUAACAGGGCGUUCAGUCAGUUGGGGUAGACGCGAAACUUGGUGAUCUACCCAUGGCCAGGGUGAAGUGUAGGUAACACUACAUGGAGGCCCGAACCAGUUCACGUUGAAAAGUGUUUGGAUGAGCUGUGGGUAGGGGUGAAAGGCCAAUCAAACUGAGAAAUAGCUCGUACUCCCCGAAAUGUUUUUAGGAACAGCGUGGGAAUUAGUUUAUCAGAGGUAGAGCUACCGAUUGGACUAGGGGGAGUCAAAUCCUACCAAAUCCAGACGAACUCCGAAUGCUGAUAAAUAUUUCCUGCAGUGAGGGUAAGGGUGCUAAGGUCCUUAUCCGAGAGGGAAAGAACCCAGACCUACUGCUAAGGUCCCUAAAUUUACGCUAAGUUGAACUAAGGAGGUUCAGUUGCUUAGACAGCCAGGAGGUUGGCUUGGAAGCAGCCAUUCCUUUAAAGAGUGCGUAACAGCUCACUGGUCGAGCGACAGAGCAUCGAUAAUAAUCGGGCAUUAAGUGUAAUACCGAAGCAUAGGAUUUGUAGUUUACUACAAGUGGUAGGGGAGCAUUCUCUGUGCGGUGAAGGCGUGUUGUGAGGCAUGUUGGAGCGCAGAGAAGCGCAGAUGUAGGCAUAAGUAACGAUAAUGCGGGCGAGAAACCCGCACACCGAUAGACUAAGGUUUCCCUGGCAAUGCUAAUCAGCCGGGGGUUAGUCGGGACCUAAGGCGAACCCGAAAGGGGUAGUCGAUGGACAAUCAGUUAAUAUUCUGAUACCACCAUUAUUUUUGAUGGGGUGACGGAGCAGUGAAAGUACCGCGUACUGACGGAAUAGUACGUUGAAGCGAGUAGGUAUAGAGACAGUAGGCAAAUCCGCUGACUCUGCUGAACGUGAUAGUACCACAAUGCUACGGCAGCGUGGAUAGUGUACCUAAACAUACUUCCAAGAAAAACCUCUAAAAUUAUGAUAAUGGUGCCCGUACCGCAAACCGACACAGGUAGUCAAGGAGAGAAUCCUGAGGUGCUCGAGUGAUUCGUGGCUAAGGAACUAGGCAAAAUGACCCUGUAACUUCGGGAGAAGGGGUCCCAUGGCAACAUGGGCGCAGUGAAAAGAUCCAGGCGACUGUUUAUCAAAAACACAUGGCUGUGCGAAGUAGAAAUACGCGGUAUACAGCCUGACACCUGCCCGGUGCUGGAAGGUUAAGGGGGGGGCGUUAUCUUCGGAGAAGCGCUGAACUGAAGCCCCAGUAAACGGCGGCCGUAACUAUAACGGUCCUAAGGUAGCGAAAUUCCUUGUCGGGUAAGUUCCGACCUGCACGAAUGGUGCAACGAUCUGGAUACUGUCUCGGCCACGAGCUCGGUGAAAUUGUAGUUCCGGUGAAGAUGCCGGAUACCCGCAACGGGACGGAAAGACCCCGUGAACCUUUACUAUAGCUUCACAUUGGCAUUGGGUAAAUAAUGUGUAGGAUAGGAGGGAGACUUUGAAGCGGUGUCGCUAGGCAUUGUGGAGUCGUUGGUGAAAUACCUCCCUUUAUUUAUCUGAUGCCUAACCCUUCACAGGGGACAUUGUGUGGUGGGUAGUUUGACUGGGGUGGUCGCCUCCAAAAGAGUAACGGAGGCUUUCAAAGGUACCCUCAGCAUGUUUGGUAAUCAUGCGUGGAGCGCAAUAGCAUAAGGGUGCUUGACUGUGAGGCCUACAAGCCGAGCAGGGUCGAAAGACGGAUAUAGUGAUCCGGUGGUUCUGUAUGGAAGGGCCAUCGCUCAAAGGAUAAAAGGUACUCCGGGGAUAACAGGCUGAUCUCCCCCAAGAGCUCAUAUCGACGGGGAGGUUUGGCACCUCGAUGUCGGCUCGUCACAUCCUGGGGCUGGAGAAGGUCCCAAGGGUUGGGCUGUUCGCCCAUUAAAGUGGCACGCGAGCUGGGUUCAGAACGUCGUGAGACAGUUCGGUCCCUAUCUGUUGUGGGCGUAAGAAGCUUGAGUGGAUCUGACCUUAGUACGAGAGGACCGGGUUGGACUAACCGCUGGUGUACCAGUUGUCUCGCCAGGGGCAUAGCUGGGUAGCUACGUUGGGAAGGGAUAAGCGCUGAAAGCAUCUAAGCGCGAAACCCACCACAAGAUGAGGCUUCUUUUAAGGGAUGUUCUAGACUAGGACGUUGAUAGGCUACAGGUGUAAAGGCAGUAAUGUCAAAGCUGAGUAGUACUAAUUACCCGUAAGCUUUCUUUA
Molecule: ribosomal RNA, 2872 nt
Filed under: Cyclobacteriaceae bacterium
Lineage: Bacteria; Pseudomonadati; Bacteroidota; Cytophagia; Cytophagales; Cyclobacteriaceae
Description: 23S ribosomal RNA
Rfam family: Bacterial large subunit ribosomal RNA
Source: RNAcentral